This 480-nucleotide long non-coding RNA is filed under the name Olea europaea subsp. europaea. The record is from RNAcentral. Lineage: Eukaryota; Viridiplantae; Streptophyta; Magnoliopsida; Lamiales; Oleaceae.
UGUGACCAGAUUGUCUAUGACCAAUCCCAAGUAUUUGUAACUGCAUGUGGUCAAAUCACUGACAUGUGUUAUCUGUGACUAAUUCUGACCAAAUUUGUAUUUAGUGUGACUAUCUGUGACCAUAUUAGUCCAAAUUGUGACUCUCUAUUAAUCUUGUCACAAACAGUAACAAUAACAACAGAAUUGGUCACAUCCGAUCACAAUAAACACAUUAUUGAUCACAGAUGGUCACCAUAAACAAAUCUGCAACAUCAAAGACCAACACCACAAUGCACCACAACUACACCUUCAACUCAACUCUACAUUCACCUCAAAUCCACAACAACAAUCACUACCACCAUCACUUCCACCAAUACCUUCAAUAAACACCAACCGCUAGCAUCGUAACACCUACAGAACCAACAACAACAGAACCACCCCACAAAUUAGAAAAUCACCAAUAGUACUGCCACCACCAAAAAAUCAUCACAUCUCUAAACA